AUUGAACGCUGGCGGCAUGCCUUACACAUGCAAGUCGAACGGCAGCACGGGAGCAAUCCUGGUGGCGAGUGGCGAACGGGUGAGUAAUAUAUCGGAACGUGCCCAGUCUGGGGAUAACGUAGCGAAAGCGUACGCUAAUACCGCAUACGAUCUAUGGAUGAAAGCGGGGGAUCGCAAGACCUCGCGCGAUUGGAGCGGCCGAUAUCAGAUUAGGUAGUUGGUGAGGUAAAGGCUCGCCAAGCCGACGAUCUGUAGCUGGUCUGAGAGGACGACCAGCCACACUGGGACUGAGACACGGCCCAGACUCCUAC
This 311-nucleotide ribosomal RNA is filed under the name uncultured bacterium. Its description in RNAcentral is "bacterial SSU rRNA". It matches the Rfam family "Bacterial small subunit ribosomal RNA", at positions 30 to 342 of the family's 1533-position model. The record is from RNAcentral.